GGAGAGAUGGCAGAGCGGUUUAAUGCACCGGUCUUGAAAACCGGCAUACCCGCAAGGGUAUCCAGGGUUCGAAUCCCUGUCUCUCCGC
RNAcentral lists this transfer RNA (88 nucleotides) under Planctopirus ephydatiae. RNAcentral describes it as "tRNA-Ser". It matches the Rfam family "tRNA". From Rfam's summary of the family: Transfer RNA (tRNA) molecules are approximately 80 nucleotides in length. Their secondary structure includes four short double-helical elements and three loops (D, anti-codon, and T loops). The record is from RNAcentral. Lineage: Bacteria; Pseudomonadati; Planctomycetota; Planctomycetia; Planctomycetales; Planctomycetaceae.